UAGCCGUAAACGAUACUCGCUAGGUGUCGGCCACGGUGCGACCGUUGUCGGUGCCGUAGGGAAGCCGUGAAGCGAGCCACCUGGGAAGUACGGCCGCAAGGCUGAGACUUAAAGGAAUUGGCGGGGGAGCACCACAACGGGUGGAGCUUGCGGUUUAAUUGGAUUCAACGCCGGAAAUCUUACCGGGACCGACAGCAACAUGAAGGCCAGGCUGAAGACUUUGCCGGAUUAGCUGAGAGGAGGUGCAUGGCGUAGUCGUGU
Molecule: ribosomal RNA, 261 nt
Filed under: uncultured archaeon
Lineage: Archaea
Description: partial 16S ribosomal RNA
Rfam family: Archaeal small subunit ribosomal RNA
Source: RNAcentral